RNAcentral lists this non-coding RNA (87 nucleotides) under unclassified sequences. The record is from RNAcentral.
UUUGUUUUGCUACCGGGUAAAACAAAUUAAAGUGCUCAAACACAUUCCAUUAGGUCUUAGAAGGGAUGUUGUCUGAGCUUUUUUCAU